GAUGAACGCUGGCGGUAUGCCUAACACAUGCAAGUCGUACGAGGGUUUUUAACUCUAGUGGCGGACGGGUGAGUAACACGUGAGAAUUUGCCUUUAGGAGGGGGAUAACAAUCGGAAACGAAUGCUAAUACCCCAUAUGCUUUCGAGUGAAAUGGAUUUUAUCCGCCUAGAGAGAAGCUCGCGGCUGAUUAGCUUGUUGGUAAGGUAAGAGCUUACCAAGGCGACGAUCAGUAUCUGGUUUGAGAGGACGAUCAGACACACUGGAACUGAGACACGGUCCAGACUCCUACGGGAGGCAGCAGUGGGGAAUUUUCCGCAAUGGGCGAAAGCCUGACGGAGCAAUACCGCGUGAGGGAAGAAUGCCUAUGGGUUGUAAACCUCUUUUUUCAGGGAGGAAUAAAAUGACGUGUACCUGAAGAAUAAGCAUCGGCUAACUCCGUG
This 441-nucleotide ribosomal RNA is filed under the name uncultured bacterium. RNAcentral describes it as "bacterial SSU rRNA". It matches the Rfam family "Bacterial small subunit ribosomal RNA", at positions 28 to 507 of the family's 1533-position model. The record is from RNAcentral.